UUUCUUUGGAGAGUUUGAUCCUGGCUCAGGACGAACGCUGGCGGCGUGCCUAAUACAUGCAAGUCGAGCGG
Molecule: ribosomal RNA, 71 nt
Filed under: Geobacillus sp. CAMR12739
Lineage: Bacteria; Bacillati; Bacillota; Bacilli; Caryophanales; Anoxybacillaceae
Description: partial 16S ribosomal RNA
Rfam family: Bacterial small subunit ribosomal RNA
Source: RNAcentral